This is a non-coding RNA of Astyanax mexicanus (Mexican tetra), 903 nucleotides long. The record is from the annotation of a RefSeq genome assembly. Lineage: Eukaryota; Metazoa; Chordata; Actinopteri; Characiformes; Acestrorhamphidae.
CAUGAAUUUUCAUAAUCUGCCAGUUAAUAAAAACACUGAAAACAGGUUUAGCAGCAGAACCCUCGAUCUGUUCUAUAAAUCUUUAUAAACUUCGGAUCAAAGCUGUUCUCCUCUUUACGCAGCUCUGCCAGGAGGUGGCGCUCUGCUCUCCUGUUGAACUGAACUGAGAGUCUGAGUCAGAUCAACAUGAGCUCCUUGAAGAGGAUCUCUUCUAUUCAUUCAGUCUCUGAGCUUCAGACAGGAUGCUGCUCUGUGUUCUGCUCAUCUUUACUCUGACUGAAGAAAUCAUUGCUGCUGAUGGAAUACAGCCACUCUUCAGUGAAAAGCGAGUUUUGGAGGGAGCAGAUGUGACUCUCUCCUGUAAUUAUACUGCAUCUUACGUAACCAACCUGCAGUGGUACCGUCAGUAUCCUGAAUCAGAACCAGAAUUCCUGAUUUCUCUCACUGAAACUGAGGGAGCAUCUAAUUCUACUCUCCGUCUGACAGCAAAGGCUGAGAAACAACAGAAACAAGUGGAUCUGAACAUAUCUAGAACUGCAGUAUCAGACUCUGCUCUCUACUACUGCGCUCUGCAGCCCACAGUGACAGAAACCCACCAAACACUGUACUAAAACUUUGCUUGUGAAAUAUGUAGAAACACUUAUAUUUCAGGAGGGGGCGCUGUUUCUCUUCUGCUUCUUCACUUUCAGCUUCUUAUUGUUGUUUGUUGGUUUUCAUGUGGUUGUAUGUGGAGAUUUAACACCAUUACAGAUGAGAUAGACAGGUUAUCAAAUAAACCUAAUAAAAUACGCCGUGGCGGUAGAUUAUUAAAGCAAAUUAUGUUAGAAAAUAAAAUUAUUGAGGUUUUUUAGAAAUGUAUACCUCAAUAAAAGAGAGUUUACACGUUUUAAUAGAAUUCAUAGA